Molecule: ribosomal RNA, 774 nt
Filed under: uncultured Neocallimastigales
Lineage: Eukaryota; Fungi; Neocallimastigomycota; Neocallimastigomycetes; Neocallimastigales
Description: partial large subunit ribosomal RNA
Rfam family: Eukaryotic large subunit ribosomal RNA
Source: RNAcentral
GUACACGCUGUGACUAGCAUAUCAAUAAGCGGAGGAAAAGAAACUAACAAGGAUUCCCCUAGUAACGGCGAGUGAAGCGGGAAGAGCUCAAAUUUGAAAUCUUAAAGGGUUUCCCUUUACGAAUUGUAGUUUAAAGAAGUGUUUUCUGUUGAGGUUUUGGUAAAAGUUCUUUGGAAUAGGACAUCAUAGAGGGUGAGAAUCCCGUAUUUGACCUUUACUUUCAACUUUGUGAUACACUUUCAAAGAGUCGGAUUGUUUGGGAAUGCAGUCCAAAAUGGGUGGUAAAUUUCAUCUAAAGCUAAAUAUUGGCGAGAGACCGAUAGCGAACAAGUACCGUGAGGGAAAGAUGAAAAGAACUUUGAAAAGAGAGUUAAACAGUACGUGAAAUUGUCAAAAGGGAAGCGUUUGACACCAGUGUUGUUUUUCUGAAAAUCAAUUAAAGAACUGUUUAUGCUAAGCUGUUUAGACUUUAUCAGCUAUCUGUUUAGUUUUGAGCUUUUCUUUAAUGCACUUUUCAGUUAACAAGUCAACAUCAAUUUCUUUUGCUGUAAAAAAGCUUGAGGAAGGUGGCUUGAGAUUCGUCUUAAGUGUUUAUAGCCUCUUGCCUAUGCAGUCGGAGAGAUUGAGGUCUGCAGCGUAGAUCCUUCGGGGCUAAAUGCAUUUGUGCUAAGUUAUAGCAUUUUAUAGACAACUUGUUGACUAUGAUUUGUCUUGUAGCUUACUCGCUUAUGUUAUUUUACCUACGCUUAGGAUGUUGACGCAUGAGAUAUACGC